GGCCCGCGAUAGCCAGCCGCCUUCCCGUGGCGCGGACCGUGAGUACCUUGUGGUCUUUUCCUAAGCUUUGUUGGCACCUUCUCGCGGUGCCCGCUGGGACAAAAGACCACAAGGGAAACUAGGAGCUGGC
This 130-nucleotide non-coding RNA is filed under the name unclassified sequences. The record is from RNAcentral.